Molecule: long non-coding RNA, 1377 nt
Filed under: Cyanistes caeruleus (blue tit)
Lineage: Eukaryota; Metazoa; Chordata; Aves; Passeriformes; Paridae
Description: lncRNA (ENSCCEG00000020163.1)
Source: RNAcentral
AUUAAGGCUUGAUGAGCUAAAAUUCAGCAGUAUAAAGCAUUCAGACCUUUCCUACUAACUUAGCAUCACUACCUUUAUGCUUCCACUUCCACUUCCUCUACUUCAGCUUCUCAACCAGUCUGUAAUGAGAAAAAUACUAUGGAGUUACUGUAAUUACAGAAAUAAGAUCUGUCCUUUGAACCAUAUACAGGAGAGAACCACCAGAUUAGUUUGUAUGGGUGUGCCCCACCUCUAUGAUUGACAAUCUACUGGUGUUCCUGGUCUUUGCUAAUCUAAAAGGAUGUAAUUAUUAACCAGCAAAAACGCCACUCCUUCACAUGCAUCCCACGUGUAGUCCUCUGCAGAACUGCCACCAGUCACUGCUACUGUUGUUAGGACCAGACACAGAACAGCAUCAUUUAGCAAGCUGAGGAUCCUCAACACUGAUCUAGUGUGUGUAAUAGAAAACAGAAGUUCACAUGGAGGAGAAGGCUAUAUAUUGAGUAAAUUUCUAUGUUCUUGGUGUGCCUACUCUUAUACCAGUGGUGAAGAGCUGCACCCACAGCUUCAUCAGCAACUAUGGUUCCUCUCCUCUAACCUCUGUAUCUCAAGAUAUCUGAAUGUGGAACUGUUCAGUAGUGCUUCCUCCUUGGUUUCAUGAUGACAUCUAUUCUUUCCAAAGAUGUGAUAAUCCAUUGUCAAGAACAUAAAAGGCUCUCCUAUAAUAUUUUGUGUGCAAGCAGACUGACUGUCCAUUGCUACAUCAUGCCAUUUUGAAAAACUGUAGGUGUAGCAAUCUGCAGUGGCAGUGUGAGGAUGGAAAACUGGGGACCAUUUACCACUUGCUGCCAAGAGGUGUAUCUGUCCUCUCUCCUGUCUCUCUGAUGCUGUGGAUUGAUAGCACCAGCCAUGCCUGCCUACACCAGUUGAAGAACUUACUGCUUUUCUUCUGAAUACAGACUGUAGAUGUGCUUCUUCAGCCCCUUUGGAGAUAGAAGACAUGAUCAUGUCUCUGAAUCACAGACUACUGGAGGCUGUGAGAACGCACAGAACUUAUAUAUUCUAUGCUUGCCUUGUUUGUAUGCUCUCCCCAUGGCACCUGCUAAUCAUCACUGUUGGGAAUUGAACACUAAAAUUCUAAAGAGGAUAAAGAGGUCGUGGGUUUUACCUGUUAUGGCUGUUCUUACUGUUUAUUUCUAUAUGGCUCCAGGAAGACAGCAGCUACUCUGCAGCUUGUCAUUCAGUAGGGACAUACUUUUCACUUUUCUGGCCAUGUGCAGUCAAGAAGAGGGAGAAGCUAAAGAAAUAUGUAAAAGUGUGAAGAAAAGUAUUUGGCCUUUCCACAUAAACAUACAAGAGAGAAAGACAAUGAAAGCAGGGAAUACAAUGAAAAGGUAG